GGGCCCGUAGCUCAACGGUAGAGCAGGUGGCUCAUAACCACCGGGUUCUAGGUUCGAAUCCUAGCGGGCCCACCA
This 75-nucleotide transfer RNA is filed under the name Bacillota bacterium. RNAcentral's name for it is "tRNA-Met". It matches the Rfam family "tRNA". From Rfam's summary of the family: Transfer RNA (tRNA) molecules are approximately 80 nucleotides in length. Their secondary structure includes four short double-helical elements and three loops (D, anti-codon, and T loops). The record is from RNAcentral. Lineage: Bacteria; Bacillati; Bacillota. RNAcentral also lists the same sequence under 1 other name.